UACGUAGGGUGCGAGCGUUAAUCGGAAUUACUGGGCGUAAAGCGUGCGCAGGCGGGCUUUUAAGCCAGACGUGAAAUCCCCGGGCUUAACCUGGGAAUGGCGUUUGGGACUGGGAGUCUGGAGUGCGGCAGAGGAGACUGGAAUUCCUGGUGUAGCAGUGAAAUGCGUAGAUAUCAGGAGGAACACCGAUGGCGAAGGCAGGUCUCUGGGCUGACACUGACGCUCAGGCACGAAAGCGUGGGGAGCAAACAGG
RNAcentral lists this ribosomal RNA (253 nucleotides) under uncultured bacterium. Its description in RNAcentral is "partial 16S ribosomal RNA". It matches the Rfam family "Bacterial small subunit ribosomal RNA", at positions 524 to 776 of the family's 1533-position model. The record is from RNAcentral.